GUUCCUUCAGAUUUUUAUUUUGGUAAAGACUAAGCAAUCGAUUUUUAAGAAUAUAAUGUUAUGUUGUUUUAUGUCAGAUAUAAAUCAUGAGAGCAAUCAAGUGGUCAGUUACUCGAAUUUAGUUAAAAUUGUUAUAUAAUACAUUUAUAUGCGAAAUGCAUGACAUGUUACAUUUUGUUUCAUUUAUAAGUAUUAAAAUUUGAUCUUUUUUUUGUAUACAAAUAAUUUAUUUAUUAAUUCAUUUUUAAAAUUAAAAAAAAUAUUUUUAAACUAUGGUUUUAGUAGAGAGGAGGAAAUAUAGUAAAA
RNAcentral lists this long non-coding RNA (306 nucleotides) under Mytilus galloprovincialis (Mediterranean mussel). Lineage: Eukaryota; Metazoa; Mollusca; Bivalvia; Mytilida; Mytilidae. The record is from RNAcentral.